UUCUAAGAUGACUGUAAUUAAGAGUACUAGCUUUUCAUAGCUUUAGUAACAUAACUGGGGGGUCUCGUCCGUUACUAAACAAUUAAGUUAAGAUUAUAAAACACGGACUUGCAACAGCCAUGCAACUCAUGUUAUCACUUUUUAUGGUCGCUGAUUUGACAGCUUUAAAUGGUUGCCCACAAACCAAGUACCUGCACUCUUGUGAAAAGCCAGUACAUGUGAUAUUUCACCAAUUGGUAAGAUUAAGAGCGGAUUAUCUUAUUAACCAGCAUACACCACUGCUUGCAAAUACUUCCGUCAAUUCCUUAGGUUUUAACCUUGCGAUCUUAGUUCCUGGGCGGAAUUUUUACCGCGUUAGCUUGGAUACCGGAAAAUUUCCCGACAAAACCCAAAAUUCAUC
This 400-nucleotide unclassified non-coding RNA is filed under the name uncultured bacterium. RNAcentral's name for it is "contains 16S-23S intergenic spacer region". The record is from RNAcentral.